RNAcentral lists this small RNA (155 nucleotides) under Caenorhabditis brenneri. RNAcentral describes it as "sRNA CBN34315". The record is from RNAcentral. Lineage: Eukaryota; Metazoa; Nematoda; Chromadorea; Rhabditida; Rhabditidae.
CAAAAGCUCUAUUUUAAAGCGAGUUAUGCGCCUUUGAAGUUGGAGAUGAGAGAGCGAGAGACGGCAGAGAAAGAGACAGUCGUUUUCUCUGCCGUCUCUCACUCUCUCGCCUCCACCUUUGAAGGCGCGUAACUCGCUUCAAAAUAGAGCUUUUU